AUACCUUCACCUAGGGAAAAUCCCACGUUUUUCAAAAUUCAAAAUGAUUCUAUUAUGCCUGGCAGUUUAGCUAAUCCUCCAUCUGAUUUAUCACAAAUAAAUAUCAUAACAACACCUGCAUCAACUUCAGAGUCUUCUUGCACCACUGAGGGUGACAAAGCGGAGGAGACGCAGAAUAGAGAACCUAAAGAGACUAACCGGAAAAAUGAAGAGUUUCUCAAAAGGAAACCCAACCGACCUGUCCAGAGGAGUUCCAGACUGAGACACUCGCUGAUAUUCAGUUCAAAUCUGGAACUGAAUAGUGCAGAAGAGAUGAAAGAUACUGCUGGAGAAAAAGAUGGGGAUGAAGCUUCAAAACUUUCAGCUCGUGUGUCACAAAUCUUAGAUAAAAGGAGGACUGGCUCUGCAUUUCAACCAUUUCAGUGGAGCAAUUUUGUAAAGUCAGCCACAUUUGAUAACUCCACCUCAGAGUCUGCACAACCUCAGGAUGAACUGAACAAAAUGGGUGAAAAUUCUGAUGUAGAUAAGGUUGAAACCUGCCAAAAUAUUCGAAAGAAUUCAUUAAAGAGUGAUCUGCAAGAAAAAGGUCUGCCUCAAACAGUUCCUGAAAAAUCUAGCCAAAGGGAUGAAUGUCCAUCUAAUUUAUCGCAAAAGCCAUCUUCUUUCAUAGAUAUGAAUGACCCUGACUAUAGACUGAGGUAUUUCAAAGAGUUAGCAGCCAAACGCAAACUUGCAGCAGCAAAGGCUUCUCAGAGCAAUCCGAUGAAAGCCACCCAAAAGUUUUCUCUACCAGAGAAACCUUUAGCUACUGAUGCAGAUAAAAAAGGCCCUGUCUUCAAGACCCCAGAAACUCCACUCAAGUCAAAAAAUACCCCUGCCACAGUAACAGAGAUCAAAGAGACCUAUAAAGACACCAAAUGUGAGGAAUCGAGUAAAGACAUCCUACAUAGAGCCACCGAUGCUGAAAAAAUUAGAUUUAAGAAAAAACUUGCAGAAGAGUCUGGCUCAACUUUAAAAAAUUUCAAGGGAGACAUUGAUCAAGCUCUAAAACCUGUUGAAGGGGCAAGAACAGUAUCUACAGCUAAAAACCAGACACCCCCCAUUUUAAACAUUUUUUCACAAAAGCCUGCCUGUGCCUUACAAAAUCAAGUAGAUUCUGUUGCAUUAGAUACUACCUCAACAGAAUCUGGUCUCAACCAAUAUCAUAUUCCUAAAGAAACAGAUCCCUCCCAUGCCUUUCUGACUGAGAGUUGUCUGCCUGUAAAGUUUCCACAGACAAAGUGUGUGUCACCGCUAUGCACCACUUCAGAUGAGGGAAGUCUACCUGCAAAAGAAUCCCAAAUUCUUGCACAGAGCCUACCCAAUAUUUCUAGCGCAUGUUCUGAUACUUUGGCUCUUGAUUCUAAUUCAGCAGCAAAUCUUGCAAUUGUAGAUACUUGUGAACCUUCAAAAAAUGACCACAAAGACACAGUUCCCUCCCCAGCAUUUUCUAAAACUGGAAUUAGUUCCACCGAACACCCCACUGCAAUAAAGGCAGACUCUUCUCAACACCUCAGUGAAACUGGGGCAGAUUUUUCUAGACGCUUCACCGCUGUAGGGGCAGAACCAUCUACAGCAGAAAAUGUGCAUUCCCAACACCAUUCUCAACUAACUCCUGCAUCUAAAACAGACUGUUUUCAACAGCCUACUGCAGUGAGGAAAGACUUUUCCCUGCACCCCACUGCUACAGAAUGUAGAACUUCACAAAACCUCCCUAUUACAAAAAAACCUGAUUCUUUCCAACAGCCAACUGCAGCAGAAAGUGAAUCGUUUUACCACUUCACUACAAUUAAAGCAGCCUCUUCUCAACAGCCUACUGAGACAGGAGAAGACUCUUCUCAGCCCCCCAUUAAAACUAGGACAGACUAUUGCCAACAAUCCAGUGGAGCAGAAAGCGAAGACUCUGAAAUACACACUGCAGUGCAGACAGACCCUACUACAACAAGAAAUAAAUCAUCCCAACAGUACUCUGCAGUAACCUCAGACUUUUCUAAACAUCCCCCUGCAGUGGGGGCAGACACUUCAGAACACCUCACUGCAGCAGAGAUGGACUCUUCUAAGAGGUCUGCUGCAUCUGUGGAAGACUCUGUGCAACACCAUGUGGCAAAAGAAAGUAAACAUUCCCAUAAACCCACUGCAUCAGAUACACAACACUUCGUGCAGCCAAAUGCUCCUGCUGCAACCUCUUCAAAACAUUCCAGUGCAAUGGAGAUAGACUACUCCCAGCAGCCCACUUCGACAGCCACAUACUUUUCUCAACACCCCACUGCAGCAGCCACAGAUUCUUCUCAGCAACCCAUUGCAAAGGAGACAGACUCUUCUCAAAAGCCUAUUGCAAUGGAGACAUACACUUUUCAGCAGUCCACUGCAUCAGUGGUAGACACCAUCAAAGAGCUAAGUGCAUCAGAGGCAGACACUCCCCAGUCCCACACUUCAACAAAAAGUGACCUUUCCACAGAACCUUUUAAACAGUUACCUUUAUUGGGAGCAAGCUCUUCUCAACAGCCCACUGCCAUAACCACAGCUUCUACACAGCAGCCAACUAUAACAAUCCCAGACUCUUCAGACACAGACUCUUC
This is a long non-coding RNA of Cyprinus carpio (common carp), 2618 nucleotides long. The record is from Ensembl. Lineage: Eukaryota; Metazoa; Chordata; Actinopteri; Cypriniformes; Cyprinidae.